CCCUUAGAUGUUCUGGGCCGCACGCGCGCUACACUGAUGCAUUCAACGAGUUUUUCCUUGGCCGAGAGGCCUGGGCAAUCUUUUAAACGUGCAUCGUGAUAGGGAUAGAUUAUUGCAAUUAUUAAUCUUGAACGGGGAAUUCCUAGUAAACGCAGAUCAUCAAUCUGCAUUGAUUACGUCCCUGCCCUUUGUACACACCGCCCGUCGCACCUACCGAUUGAAUGGUCCGGUGAAGCCUCGGGAUUGUGGCGAGUUCCCUUUAUUGGGAGUUUGUCGCGAGAACUUGUCUAAACCUUAUCAUUUAGAGGAAGGUGAAGUCGUAACA
This 325-nucleotide ribosomal RNA is filed under the name uncultured eukaryote. Its description in RNAcentral is "partial 18S ribosomal RNA". It matches the Rfam family "Eukaryotic small subunit ribosomal RNA", at positions 1470 to 1796 of the family's 1831-position model. The record is from RNAcentral.